This 253-nucleotide ribosomal RNA is filed under the name uncultured bacterium. RNAcentral's name for it is "partial 16S ribosomal RNA". It matches the Rfam family "Bacterial small subunit ribosomal RNA", at positions 524 to 776 of the family's 1533-position model. The record is from RNAcentral.
UACGGAGGGUGCAAGCGUUAAUCGGAAUUACUGGGCGUAAAGCGCACGUAGGCGGUUGAGUGAGUCAGAUGUGAAAUCCCCGGGCUUAACCCGGGAAUUGCAUCUGGUACUGCUUAGCUAGAGUCCUGUAGAGGGGGGUAGAAUUCCCUGUGUAGCGGUGAAAUGCGUAGAGAUGGGGAGGAAUACCAGUGGCGAAGGCGGCCCCCUGGACAAAGACUGACGCUCAGGUGCGAAAGCGUGGGGAGCAAACAGG